AACGCACAUUGCGCCCUUUGGUAUUCCGAAGGGCAUGCCUGUUCGAGCGUCAUUUCAACCCUCAAGCUCUGCUUGGUAUUGGGUCUCACCGCACGGUGGGCCUUAAAAUCAGUGGCGGUGCCAUCUUGGCUCUAAGCGUAGUAAAUCUCUCGCUCUGGGACCUCGGUGGUGCUUGCCAGUAACCCCAAAUUUUCUAUGGUUGACCUCGGAUCAGGUAGGGAUACCCGCUGAACUUAA
This 237-nucleotide unclassified non-coding RNA is filed under the name uncultured fungus. RNAcentral's name for it is "sequence contains ITS2". The stretch from base 1 to 52 matches the Rfam family "5.8S ribosomal RNA", at positions 103 to 154 of the family's 154-position model. Lineage: Eukaryota; Fungi. The record is from RNAcentral.